GACGAACGCUGGCGGCGUGCUUAACACAUGCAAGUCGAACGAAGAGCGAUGGAAGCUUGCUUCUAUCAAUCUUAGUGGCGAACGGGUGAGUAACGCGUAAUCAACCUGCCCUUCAGAGGGGGACAACAGUUGGAAACGACUUCUAAUACCGCAUACGAUCUAAUCUCGGCAUCGAGGAUAGAUGAAAGGUGGCCUCUACACGUAAGCUAUCACUGAAGGAGGGGAUUGCGUCUGAUUAGCUAGUUGGAGGGGUAACGGCCCACCAAGGCGAUGAUCAGUAGCCGGUCUGAGAGGAUGAACGGCCACAUUGGGACUGGGACACGGCCCAGACUCCUACGGGAGGCAGCAGUGGGGAAUCUUCCGCAAUGGACGAAAGUCUGACGGAGCAACGCCGCGUGAGCGAUGACGGCCUUCGGGUUGUAAAGCUCUGUUAAUCGGGACGAAAGGCCUUCUUGCGAAUAGUGAGAAGGAUUGACGGUACCGGAAUAGAAAGCCACGGCUAACUACGUG
This 510-nucleotide ribosomal RNA is filed under the name uncultured bacterium. RNAcentral describes it as "partial 16S ribosomal RNA". It matches the Rfam family "Bacterial small subunit ribosomal RNA", at positions 28 to 507 of the family's 1533-position model. The record is from RNAcentral.